Long non-coding RNA from Notolabrus celidotus (New Zealand spotty), 224 nucleotides. RefSeq lists it as uncharacterized. The record is from RefSeq and is a predicted model, not a curated record. NCBI's taxonomy places the organism in Eukaryota, Metazoa, Chordata, Actinopteri, Labriformes, Labridae. The transcript is spliced from 3 exons.
GGCCAAGUGUCUCCAUGUCUGUCUGUCUACCUUCAACAUCCUCCUCAAUAUCUUUCCUGUACUUCUCUGCUGAUUAAACUGCAAUUGUAAUAACACGAUGUCUCAAAGGAGGUGUUUGUAAGCAGGGAGGAAAGACACGUUUGUAAUUAAAGCGAUAAAUCAGAGGAGAUGCUGCUCCGCGUCGCCUCCAGAAACAGACCAGCAGCCUGCUAACAGGAGGUGAG